Chinchilla lanigera (long-tailed chinchilla) is the source of this 2166-nucleotide long non-coding RNA. RefSeq lists it as uncharacterized. Lineage: Eukaryota; Metazoa; Chordata; Mammalia; Rodentia; Chinchillidae. The transcript is spliced from 3 exons. The record is from RefSeq and is a predicted model, not a curated record.
AGGAGCUGAGCGGCCCCCGGAAGUCUAGGAGGCGCGCGCGCGCCGGCGUCCGCAGGACUGCGAGGGCAGGUCCCCGCCCGGAAGUUCAGCCCCAGUUGGGGCGGCUCCCUUCUCUGCGUCCUGCCUGGGGCCUGGCCACCGCCCAGCUAGGGCGUCUCCGGCCGGCCCGCGCUCCCCACCCCGCCCUCCUCGGUCCUGAGCGCUGCGCUCCCAGGGAGAACGUUUCCGGAGCUGCACGCCCGGCGGCGAGCGAGUAUGGGCCAGAUCUCGGCCCGCGUCGCCGCUCCGCCCCUCCCUGCGGCCCGAUCGGACGCCGCGAUGCUCGAAGCCGAGGUCUCCGGGUUUGAGGAUGGAGACCACGGAGCCCGGCCCCCGGCUUCCCGCCGCCGACAAGCAGUACAAAAUUUUACUGGUCCGGAGAUAAGGUUUUGGGGACAAGCAUGUACUUUUGAAACGCCUCGAUUUUUAAAAAUACCGUCUUUCUUAUAGGCGUUAUUCCAGACAAGUUAUGCGUUCCAGAAAUACUUAAUAUUUUAAAAUUUUGUUAGUCCCCUAGGGAGGAAUUAAAGUUGCACCUUCUAAAGCUGUACUGCCAGCGUCUGCCUCAUUAAGCUCUCAAUAGACUCCUUGUAACAUAGACUGCAAACAAAAGUAACGCGGAUCAAAAUUGUUUGAAGAAACAUAUUGGCCAGAAAUUUCGUUCAGCGGUGCUGCACCUACCCAGUUAGCUCAAGGCCAUGGAUUUGAUGCUGGUACCCAAAAAAAGGGGAAGAUACCUUAAGGUCGGUAAUAAUUCCCACUUUCUGAGAACGACGGCCAAGACCCUAGCAAACAACUUACCUGCCUUCUGGCUGCUCUCCAAAGAGGAUCAGUAAAUCGCAAAUGCACACUUCUCAUGCAGUUCCUGGAAAAGAUCUUGCAGUUGCCUGCACUCCUGUUUGGUUUCUUGUAUUUGGAGUUUAUUAGUUUUGUGAAAUUUUAUAGGAGAAAUUGUGAAGCAAUUUAUUUACCCAGGGAUGACUACAAGUCAAGCUCACCCAGCAUGUCCGUCAAAUUAGCAUACAUAUUGCCAGUAAUGUGUUACAUAGAUUACCAUAAUCCUUCUGUUCGUCUCUCUUAACUCUGAGGCCCUGCUAAAUAGAACACCUGUCGAGGGUCCAUGUAUACACUGAGCUGCUUUCUAAACAGUGUCCUCUCAGUCUGCUCUUGCAAAGUUACGGCACCAAAUGAAAACAGUUGACACUGUCUCGGUCCCAUCAGGCUGCUUUAAUAGAUAAUCAGCACACACUGGGCAGCUUGUCAACAACAAAAGUUUUUCUCUCGUGGUUCUGGAGGCCUGAAAGCCAAAAGAAGGUGCCUGCAGAUUUGGUAUCUGGUUGGAGCAGCUUUGUUUCUUAGGCGGGAGCUGCUUGCUUUGUCUGCACGUGGUUCCAGGUUGAACAAGCCUCUCCCCACUACUUAAUAAGGGCACUGACUCCAUUAGUGACGGUCUCAGCCUCAUGAUGCAGUCACUUCCCCAACGGGAACUACGAUCUUAAUACCAACAACUUUGGGUUAGGGAUUCAAGAUGUGACUCUGAGGGUACCAAAACAUUCGGACAGUGCCAAGCACCAAACAUCAACAACCGGGCAAAAGGAACAGACUUCUAUCCACUGCAGGGUUGCACCUGUUAAGACACCUGGGAUUCCAAAGUCUCAAGCCUGGAAUUCUGGACUCCUUUACCACUGGCUGAGCUGGAGGGUCAUCUGAGAUGAUGCAGAUAAAUGGAUCUCACUUUUGGGGUUCAUGUGUAACUCCAUACACACACGUUACUGAGUCAUACUCCCUUCCCUCCAUGAAUACAAAACAAUCAGAACAGGCCCUCAAAGCAGCAAGAGCUACAGUGUCUAUUCUCCAGGAAGGGUCUUGGCUUUGGAAUCACCCUACAUACUCUAAACCCUGCAGCCAGUAAAGUGGAACAUAUUUAUUGAGUCUCAGCUCAGACAAAUUUGCUGUGUAGCUUUUCCUUCCUGAACUUGCAAGGCAUUAGGUCUGCUUCAUAUGUUAAUUGUCUUUUAUCUGUCUGAUAGGGUUCAAAUCUAUAUUAAUAUAUUGCAUUUGCUCAGAGGUAAUUUUUUUAUCCAUUAAAAAGUAACUUGAGGCCAGGCCUGUAAUUCCAGUAUUCGG